UGUCAGUUAAUACAUUGUCCAUCAAGACGUCGUGAUAGUUCAAGUUAAGAUAACGUGACGUUUACAAAAUGUGUAGACAGAUAUUUGUCAUAUAGAAGAUUGUUCAUUUAAUACUCAAACCAGUCCUCAACUGAAGCAGACAUUCAUGCACCUAUCCUGACAGCUGAUCGAUAUUUGUGAUUAACUGUGAUCCACCGCAUCUUAACUCAAGUGUUUGUGUUUUAUUGUCAUUUGAAAGUUUCCACACUGUGAAAACUGAGUGAUCUGUGCCAACAGAAGGAGGAGCUCAUGUACAGAGCAGCACAUUAGUUUCCAUUCAUCUGGUUGAAGGGAGACUGCAUGGACAUCCUUAGUUCUCUAAUGUGCUGUGAUGAUGAUGAUGAUGAUGAUGGUAGAAAACCUCCCAGUUCAUCUUCCUCUGAUGAAAUGACAGACCAACUGCUGAUGAGUUUCUUUAUUAUUCUGUCUUCAGUGUUCACAGGUUCAGUGGCGCGUCAAGUCUGCCCUCAGUCCCACGAAGAAGAACAACGUCCGGUAGCACUUGAAGUUAGCAUCACAGAAACACAGGAGUGACUGAACCUCCUAAAAGACGAUAUUCAUCUGAGUCCCUAAGCACCGCUCCCGACAAGAAACCACGGUCAACGGCAAAGAAAAGAAGCAACAGAGUAAAUCUGGAUGUGUCUUCCCGCCGCUGGAGAAGCUCCUGAGAGGAAAGAGAUGCGGUUUGAUGCCGAGCUCGCAACUUUCCUGUUAGCCCGGAAUCCACCUCAGGCCAGACCUGAGGAAAGCAGCAGGAAAGGGUGACAAAGAAGCUGCUGCUGCUGUUUCUGAAACGGUUGCCUGGGUUACCAAUGUUGGUGUGUUGGCUCUCCAGGAUGGCGGCCGGAUUGAUGAUGCCACAUAUUCAAGGUGGACCCCCGGAGGUUCCUGUUUUCACAUUGAGGCAUAGCGGUCCUCGCUGGAGGGGAAGCACAGGAUGCUCAGCCUGACUGUUGCCAAGGUGAUCCAGAGGAUCUCCUGGGAGGAGUGGAGUCUCCACUGUUGGAGGAGGACACAUGGGGCGGAGGAGACGCUCCUCCUCAUCCAGGAUCUCCACGUCACCCUGGACGUCUCUUUGCUGGAUUCUCUCUGCAUCCAGGACACAUGGAGACACAGAGGAGCCUCACCUGCAUUCAGGACCCAGCAGGUGCAGCUGUACAGAGACUGGUAGACUGACAGAGGGCGGGGUCAGCCUUCUGGUUUCCACCUUCACCACUUCAUCCCAGCCAGUGCCAAGUACUUCCAAGCUCCUGACAACACCUGCCUGACAGAGCAGGAGGAAGAGCGAGUUGUCUUCCCUCCCAGAGACCAGGAGAGGCAGCGACAGGGAAGAACACCUCCUGUCCUUGGAAGGAGAGUCUCCAGAGCUGUCUUCUUGGACUGAACUCGGGCCCUGCAAACUGGGCCAGUGUUACCCGCCUGGUGGAGGCUGUUUGAAACCAGCUCUGCGUCUUCACCCGGUGGCCACGUGGUCCAGAGGGACCGUGAGGACUCGGUGGUCAUUCAGUCUCAAGGAUCAUGUGGCAUCAGAGAGGCAGUGCUGGCCAGCCCCAGGUUGAUGGCUCAGAUCAACAUCGAGCUCUUUGAAUUGAAUUGAGGACUCAGUGGUGCUGGCCAGACUCUCCCUUCAGCAAAGGGUCUGUCAUUUAUUCUUGCAGCUCACAUCAUGUGCUGUGGUGCAGUGGAUGGAUGGGCAUCGGUUGAGAAAACUAAGGUCAUCACAUGACUCACUGUCACAGGGUGAGGAGCUCUGGAGAGAGAUCAUCAGUUUCACCUGAACCUCAAGUUCUGUUAGUGAGUUAUAUGAUAAGUUUAUCGCACUACAGUGACUCACUGUCGCCUCUUGAGGAACAAAGUGGUGUUACAAGAUGAGACGGCCUGUUCAGGACAUCCAGCAGCAGUUACACAGUGAACCUUUCUAAGACAGUCUGCAGUCACUUAUUUCUGCCCCAUCACCAUUCUGUUCAAAGGAAGGCGUUUUAUUAAGCGUUGCUGUAUAGCCACAUUUAAACAUUUCUAUAAUUGUUGUUGUUGAUUAAAGUCAACAUAGGAAGUCUUGUGACUUCAUGUGUUGUGAUUUCUAUACUGUGCAGCUGCUACUGUUAAAAUUCACACCAGACACGCUCCAUAAAAACCAUCAGCAAAGCAAAGCUUCAUAAAAAACUGUAUUUCACAUUAAAACUGCAUUAAUUUCAACAAUUUACAAUCAACUGUAACUGACAAAUUAAAAAUAAAAGUUUGCAUAAUAAAGAGGUGGAUAAAUCUUAUUUAGUAACAAGUAUAAAUUAUAGUAGAGAUGUAAAAUAAUCCUUCAUAGCUCAGUGAGGACGGAGCAACAGUCUGACAGGUCGACUGGAAGCUGCUGCAGCCGUCCAUAAGUGAUGGAGGGAAGGAGCCGUUAUUCAUCAUCAGUCUUAGUGUUAGAAAAUGUUUUACACUGUGGUUUUACAGUUUAACGUUAGCACACAUGCUAACUUCAGCUACAAUAACAAGUUACUCCUCACAUAUAUGAUAUUAGCCUGUAAAACUAAUGUAACAGUUGUGACAGCUAACCGUGUUAGCAGCAUCUUCACACGGCUCAGCCAGGAGCCUGUUGAUGUGGGAGGAUGUACUUGGUGUCCUCGAGGUCACAGGUCAGAUCCCCCCCUCCCUCCUCCCCAGCUCCACCCUCUCAUCCAAAUAUGGUUUCUUCUGGCUCCAAAAAAACUAAGAUGGCGACGUCCAUUAAGACAAACUUGAAGCUUCAGAAGUUCACAAACCACCGUGUGACGUCUCGGCCGUUUGCCAUUUGGUUCACACCGAAACAUCAAACACUGAAAACAUUACUGUGAAGUUUCAUGCAGAUAUUCAUUGUCCCCAGGGGAUGAAUCCACAGGUCGUCAGUGCAGCAGGUUAUUAUGACCCAUAGUUACGUUUUUUGUUGCUAGGCGACAUCCAGUGGUCGUAGUAAUGAUGACAAGCGAAGGGAAAAGUGUCAGUGAUGUAGUAUAAAGAGAGACAGAGUCCACGUCAGCAGGAGGUGCUGAUGGCUGGAUGAAUGUGACAUCGAUUCCCAUGUGAAACCAGCUGUUUACGUUGUUUCUAUUAUCCAUGAGCGUAGUUUAACCGAGUUAUUAUUGUAACCAUGACAACCAAGGUGCGGUACGCCUGCUGCUGUAGGGGGCGCUGUUUCAGUCGACGGUCCUAUGGGCCAUAAAAAAGAUCUGCGAGUUGUUCAGGUCGGAGGAGCUCAACGUUUUCACUUCUCUACUUCCUCUAAAUUCAUUGAACAUAUAUUAGAAGCCAUUUAUUUUUUAGUUUACCUCUUCCUUUCGUGUCAUUGUCAGCUCAUAUUUGACUCUGUCCAGCUCUUUGGUUUAUGACCAUGAAUUUACUAAACUAAUGACAUUCCUCAGCUGUAUGUUGUUUAGUGCUAAUUAGCUAAUUGCUAACACAUUGAACUAAGCUGGUGAACACGGGAAAUAUUACUUCCUAACAGAAUGUUUACAUUGCUAUCAGUGUUAGCAUGUUAGCACCACUGUGCCUCAGUACAGUUUCAAAAAGCUGCUGUAGCGGUGAAGUAACGGGUCACAUUUACUUUUACUUUAACAAAGUCGUUUUGUUUGUUUGUUUGUUGUUUUGUUUUUUUUGUUGUGUAAUUGUAGUUUUUGGAGUAUUUAGAUAUUUGUUGACUCAAGUAUUUUACUCCAUACCUGAGUAAAGACAAAGGUCACGUGAUGAAGUCAUGAUGAACUGUGUGAGGAGAAGCUGCUGAUUGGAGGCACCGCCCGGCAGCCACGACGAGUGUCCCAAAUCAAACACACCUGCCACGUCACCUGACCAACAGGUGCAUUCUGGGUGUGGCUAACGCUAAAUGUUAAAAUACUGGCGGUGGAUCCUCCGGCUGAGUCUGAGUUAAGUUUUCCUUAAAAUAAAAACAGUUGAACAAAACACCUUUAAGUCUCAUCCUUAAGGUUUCCUUAAAAUGUUUAUGCUUAAAAGUUUUUAAGGUUUUCUCCUCAUCUUGGUUUACUUAAGAAAUCACUUAUUUAAACCGUUGCACAAAAGACUAGUGAUCUUUGCAUGUCUGAGUUUCUGUAGUUAAAUGAAGUAAAUUAAAACUUCCCAGGAAGAUGAUAAUGAUGACGAUGUCCCACGACCUGGAGACUCCCUUAACGACGCAGUAAAAUCUGUCACUGCUGCAAAUGCUUUAACUUCACUAAGGAAACCUUUUAAGAGAUUCUGUGCAACAUCCUUUAGUGACUCCAUCAUCUAAGGAGAAAUUAAAGCUUAAGUGCCACACUUCAGUAGGAAACGGCCAAAGAUGUUCUUUAAUUUAAUAGAUUUAUCUUGUUAUUGUUAUC
Seriola aureovittata is the source of this 4382-nucleotide long non-coding RNA. RefSeq lists it as uncharacterized. The record is from RefSeq and is a predicted model, not a curated record. The transcript is spliced from 6 exons. Lineage: Eukaryota; Metazoa; Chordata; Actinopteri; Carangiformes; Carangidae.